GCCAGCAGUGCCCCUCCCUUGCUCAGCACCGCUCGGCCGAACUUGUAAAGCGGGGGUCGUCGGUUCGAACCCGACAGGGGGCU
RNAcentral lists this transfer RNA (83 nucleotides) under Streptomyces sp. SID6041. RNAcentral describes it as "tRNA-OTHER". RNAcentral also lists the same sequence under 1 other name. The record is from RNAcentral. Lineage: Bacteria; Bacillati; Actinomycetota; Actinomycetes; Kitasatosporales; Streptomycetaceae.